Toxorhynchites rutilus septentrionalis is the source of this 2334-nucleotide long non-coding RNA. RefSeq lists it as uncharacterized. The record is from RefSeq and is a predicted model, not a curated record. NCBI's taxonomy places the organism in Eukaryota, Metazoa, Arthropoda, Insecta, Diptera, Culicidae. The transcript is spliced from 5 exons.
UACCAAAUCUUUAGUAGUUGAAACAUUGGUAAAAUGUACAAAUUUUUUGUACAUAUUACCAAAAUCCGGUAAAACUGAUGUCAGAUGUAAUGUACAUCCCUACCAGAGAUUCGUACAUUUUACUUCAUGCCAUUUGUAACCUUCAAUGUUUUCAUUCCUAGCGACUGUGAAGUGCGCACUUCGUAAUCGCCAUUUUUUUGUGGAAGCGAAGCAAUUCGGAGAUAUUCCGAAAUAUACUCAUUUUGGACAACGUUUCUUCUAUUCUACUACUGAUAGAAGCAUUUCCAUUUGCGAUCAAUCGUAAACGAACAUUUUACAACAGCCAUGAUUCGAUGCUAAUAUUUGGCGAUACAAACUAGGGAAAGGAAGAACCAAUAACGAUUCACCAUCGGUCCGUGCAAACGGUAUCAAAUGAGCGUAUCUUUUCGUCGACCAACGGCAGCGACCAGCGAAUCAACAAGUGCAGCUGAUUCCAGCACGAAUAGCUCUUCUGUUUCUUCACUGGAGCAUCGAAAAUCCCUAUCAGGCUCAGGUGCAGGCAAGAAUCAAUGAAGGAGGAGCAAGCUACGCUACCGCAAGUAUAGUCAUUUGCUCAUAAAAUUUACAAGAUGUAUCGAAACUCUCCAGGAAAAGUGUCGUUAUUCGUUUUUUCUACAAACUGAUAACCUCUGCGUGAUAAUGAUGUGUCAGGAAGAUCCAAUCAACUGCUUUUCUCAACCGGAGGAUGACAUGGAACAUGAAGAACGUCAGAACCGACUACGUGCUCUGUGCAAUCAUCAGGAUCUGUUCCAGGAGGAGAGUGUUGAAUUUGAUACUGGAAAGCAUCGACAAAAUCAAUGUCAUAUCGUCACUAGGUUUCAUGAUUUCCUCCUGGCUAGUGAUGAAAAAGUUGGGAGUCGAUAUCCGGAUAUCUGUUCCAACUACUAGCGGUUGUCAUCAAGGAAAACUCAGUUUGCUAACUCAAAUCAUUUUAAUUGGAUGAUUUUGUAUGUGUUUUGUUCACUGUGCGUUGGUAAUGGUCGGUAUGGUUGGUUGGUCGGUAAUCCUAAUAUCCUCGUUCAUGGUGUUGAGGAAUCUAGGGUGUACCAGAAAUGUUACUUUGAAAUUACUAUGGACCAUAACGGACAAACGUGCACAAACAUGACACCGCGUUUGCGAAUUAAUUGGGCCAAUACUGCUGAAUAUGUUGAGGAUGUAAAAAUGGGGCGAAAAUGACGUUGGUAAUAAUUUGCAUACUCAUGAUUCCGGACGUGACAAAACUAUUCAUCGCAAAAGGAAUGGAAUUGCAUGCUAGAUCUCAGCGUCUCGGUGAUACGGUUUAUGUUCAAUGGAGAGCCAAUGUAUGUUUGAUUUUAAUCUAACUUGAAUGUUUUUUUUUUUCCGGUGAUGAGCUGCUCGUCGAAGCUAAGUUGUCAAUUUUAUUUUGGUUUCCGCGUUUCUGUCUGCGAUGUUGAACCCUAAGAUGGAAGAAUUCGGCGAUAUGCUGGUCGAGAGCACUCACAACUUGUGAGACAAAGAGCGAAUUCAACAAAGUUAAACAAAGACAACGGAAACCAUCGUAGCUCCCAUUCAGUUCCGUACAGCAUAUACGGCUAUGGCGACUAUCAGAAAGCUGUUGAUCUAUGGAUACAAUUCGGACCAACAAACUGGUGAGACGAAUGAGCCCCUUGCGGCGGAAGCAUUCAGACAGAACUUCGCAACCAUCAGAACGCACCUAGCGGAGAAGACGUAUGCUGUUAUGUCAAGAAAGACAUACUUUUAGUUUGAGGUACGGACUGUGGGACUGAUGAGGCAGGACUGCAAUUCCGAAACGAUGUUGGGGAAUGAUGAUCCAUCGUGUGCUUUUGAUGGCUACAAUAUAAGCAUGAGCACAAAUAUCGAAUCCGAUUGUUCAAUACGAGCAAUCACGACCCCUCAAUCCAAUGUAGUCGUUCUGUUACAAGAAAACAAGCCCCAAAUUCCUACUGAAGACACAUUUCCACUGCCUCAUUAAAUGGGCAAGUAAACUACACCUGCGCAGGGUCGAAGAUUUCGGUAGGCGAUACCUGGUCGGAAACGUAAUCGUUUUCUUCUUAAAUAUCCUCGACAAGAUCAGCACGAGAGGAAUAAAUACGAACUAAGAGUACUGGGUACUGGUGUCAUCGACUUCCUGCUAAUCAGCGCCCCAUUCUCUAGAGACAGCGAUGCAGUAGAAGGAGUUAUUGCGACGAGAAUUAUUGUUGUUUUCAAAUUUUACAUUUUUUUUUAUUGUAGAACUAUUGAAAUUAUAGAAUAAGUUAUUAGUGAAAUAUUAUAUAACAUGUUAUCAAACACAGGAUUUUAAAUAAAACAAAA